Molecule: ribosomal RNA, 253 nt
Filed under: uncultured bacterium
Lineage: Bacteria
Description: partial 16S ribosomal RNA
Rfam family: Bacterial small subunit ribosomal RNA
Source: RNAcentral
UACGAAGGGGGCAAGCGUUGUUCGGAAUUACUGGGCGUAAAGGGCGCGUAGGCGGCUUACCAAGUCAGGCGUGAAAUUCCCGGGCUCAACCUGGGGGCUGCGCUUGAUACUGGUGAGCUUGAAUGCGGGAGAGGAUAGUGGAAUUCCCAGUGUAGAGGUGAAAUUCGUAGAUAUCUGGAGGAAUACCGGUGGCGAAGGCGGCAUCCUGGACCGGCAUUGACGCUGAGGAGCGAAAGCCAGGGGAGCAAACGGG